This 500-nucleotide ribosomal RNA is filed under the name uncultured bacterium. RNAcentral describes it as "partial 16S ribosomal RNA". It matches the Rfam family "Bacterial small subunit ribosomal RNA", at positions 29 to 523 of the family's 1533-position model. The record is from RNAcentral.
AUUGAACGCUGGCGGCAUGCCUUACACAUGCAAGUCGAACGGCAGCACGGGAGCAAUCCUGGUGGCGAGUGGCGAACGGGUGAGUAAAGUAUCGGAACGUGCCCAGUCGUGGGGGAUAACGUAGCGAAAGUUACGCUAAUACCGCAUACGAACUAUGGAUGAAAGCGGGGGAUCGCAAGACCUCGCGCGAUUGGAGCGGCCGAUAUCAGAUUAGGUAGUUGGUGGGGUAAAGGCUCACCAAGCCGACGAUCUGUAGCUGGUCUGAGAGGACGACCAGCCACACUGGGACUGGGACACGGCCCAGACUCCUACGGGAGGCAGCAGUGGGGAAUUUUGGACAAUGGGAGAAAGCCUGAUCCAGCCAUGCCGCGUGCAGGAUGAAGGCCUUCGGGUUGUAAACUGCUUUUGGACGGAACGAAAAGGUUUGGCCUAAUAAGCUGAGCUCAUGACGGUACCGUAAGAAAAAGCACCGGCUAACUACGUGCCAGCCGCCGCAGUAA